Caretta caretta (loggerhead turtle) is the source of this 1215-nucleotide non-coding RNA. The record is from RefSeq and is a predicted model, not a curated record. NCBI's taxonomy places the organism in Eukaryota, Metazoa, Chordata, Testudines, Cheloniidae.
GCGUCUACACUAGACGCGGUAAAUCGAUCCCCGAUAGAUCGAUCACUACCCACUGGACGUGGCCUUAGUGUAGACCAGUGUAGACGUGGCCUGAGCGUCAUUGCUUUAAAUCCUUUGCUCUACAUUGGUUUGCCAAGGUUUCCAUCCUGGCAAAUUGGCUCCUCCACCUUGAAAAAUCCUGCAGAUGGCGGCCAAGCUAGUUGCCCUUUAUUGUUUUUGAAUCACAUCUUCCCAAAUGACACAGCAAUUGCCUUAAAUUGCAAUUGCAGCCCUGUGAUUACCUGCAUAUUACAAAGUUAAACCAUAGAAACCCAGGUUUUUGCAUUAUUGUUUUGGAAUUUAAAAUAGCCCUGGCAUAUCUAUGACAGUAAGACAAAUGUGUCUUGUUCCCUCUGUUGAUAUUUUGGCUCCAAACAGAUUCCUGGGAGCUGGCUUCCACACCAUCUCAGCACUCAGCCUCUUCAACUGAGGAACCUCUCUGAAGUAACGUUGUGGACUUCUUCAUCUGUAAGUAAAGCAGGAAUACUGAAGACUCUUGACUCUGUUUUUGAUCUAAACACUUCCAGAAACUUCCCAGCUGAACAACAUGCCUUUAUAUGUGUAUAAGGCAUUGACGAAGCAAAGGUAUGGUCCCUGCUCCACCGAGCUUGGAGUCUAAACUGACCAAACACGAGAGAUUCUUCUCUGAUCAUUUGCCACUGUUGCUGAACAGAUGCAAAAUCGUCAAGUGAGGAAACACACUUUCGCGGUUUGGACUUUGCUUGUUCUUUAUUAUUCUCUGCAAAACUGACUGCUGAAUCCAUGUACUUUUUUUUGCUACUGCUGGCACUAUAUGCCAUUUAUGAAAUGAAGUAUUUUAAAUGCUGACAUGGAAACGGAGUAAAAACACAAGAAUGGGUCAGAUCAAAGGUCCAUCGAGCACAGUAUCCGGUCUUCUGACAGUGGCCAAUGCCAGGUGCUUCAGAUGGAAUGAACAGAGCAGGUAAUCAUCAAGUGAUCCAUCCCCUGUUGCACAUUCCCAGCUUCUGGCAAACAGAAGCUAGGGACACCAUCGCUGCUCAUCCUGGCCAAUAGCCAUUGAUGGACCUGUCCUCCAUGAGCUUAUCUAGUUCUUUUUUGAAGCCUGUUAUAUAGUCUAUAGUAGAGUGAUGUCAAGGUCAUGAAUGAAGGGAACAGUAGCUUUUAUAAAACCUAAAUAAAUAAAAUCUAAAUGAA